Molecule: ribosomal RNA, 253 nt
Filed under: uncultured bacterium
Lineage: Bacteria
Description: partial 16S ribosomal RNA
Rfam family: Bacterial small subunit ribosomal RNA
Source: RNAcentral
UACGGAGGGAGCUAGCGUUGUUCGGAAUUACUGGGCGUAAAGAGCUCGUAGGCGGUCUGUCGCGUCGGAUGUGAAAAUCCAGGGCUCAACCCUGGACCUGCAUUCGAUACGGGCAGACUAGAGUUCGGCAGGGGAGACUGGAAUUCCUGGUGUAGCGGUGAAAUGCGCAGAUAUCAGGAGGAACACCGGUGGCGAAGGCGGGUCUCUGGGCCGAUACUGACGCUGAGGAGCGAAAGCGUGGGGAGCGAACAGG